RNAcentral lists this long non-coding RNA (412 nucleotides) under Physcomitrium patens. RNAcentral describes it as "long non-coding RNA (PPAT_LNC002529)". Lineage: Eukaryota; Viridiplantae; Streptophyta; Bryopsida; Funariales; Funariaceae. The record is from RNAcentral.
AAUCCUAAAUCCUAAAUUAAAUCCUAAGGUGGAUUAGAAUUCUAAUAUCUAUUAAUUAAUUUAUUGAUCUUCCUUGAAAAUUUACAUACCUCUCAAUUUCUUAGUUAAAAAAUAGUAUAACAAAUUUGAAGAUAAUCAUACUUACCAAAUAGAAGAAAAAUCCUAAAACUUGCUUAGGUAUUAGCUGGCCUCCCACUCCAAUCCAAAUGUUGAAUUUCUAGUGCCAAUAUCUCCUUUUCAAACCAUUUUAUUGUUUUCAAAUUUCACAUAUGUAUAGCAAAUUAAAUCUAUUACCUUUAUACAUAAAUUUCACUCCAAUUCAAUUAGUAGAUUAUUGAAGAUUUUAGAAGACCUAAUUGUCCUUCAAAAUCUAAUUUUUGUGACAUCAACCUACUUGAAAUUUAAUAACCUU